Molecule: ribosomal RNA, 467 nt
Filed under: uncultured Enterobacteriaceae bacterium
Lineage: Bacteria; Pseudomonadati; Pseudomonadota; Gammaproteobacteria; Enterobacterales; Enterobacteriaceae
Description: bacterial SSU rRNA
Rfam family: Bacterial small subunit ribosomal RNA
Source: RNAcentral
CGGGGACCCGCACAAGCGGUGGAGCAUGUGGUUUAAUUCGAUGCAACGCGAAGAACCUUACCUGGUCUUGACAUCCACAGAACUUUCCAGAGAUGGAUUGGUGCCUUCGGGAACUGUGAGACAGGUGCUGCAUGGCUGUCGUCAGCUCGUGUUGUGAAAUGUUGGGUUAAGUCCCGCAACGAGCGCAACCCUUAUCCUUUGUUGCCAGCGGUCCGGCCGGGAACUCAAAGGAGACUGCCAGUGAUAAACUGGAGGAAGGUGGGAUGACGUCAAGUCAUCAUGGCCCUUACGACCAGGGCUACACACGUGCUACAAUGGCGCAUACAAAGAGAAGCGACCUCGCGAGAGCAAGCGGACCUCAUAAAGUGCGUCGUAGUCCGGAUUGGAGUCUGCAACUCGACUCCAUGAAGUCGGAAUCGCUAGUAAUCGUGGAUCAGAAUGCCACGGUGAAUACGUUCCCGGGCCUU